AACGCAUAUUGCGCUCUUUGGUAUUCCGAAGAGCAUGCUUGUUUGAGUAUCAGUAAACACCUCAACCUCCUCUUGUUUUUUCAAAAGGAGGGUGGACUUGAGCUAUCCCAACAACCUUCAUCGGUAGGCGGGCGGCUUGAAAUGCAGGUGCAGCUGGACUUUUAUCUGAGCUAAAAGCAUAUCUAUUUAGUCCUCGUCAAACAGGAUUAUUACUAUUGCUGCAGCUAACAUAAAGGAUAAUUGUCCUCAUUGCUGACUGAUGCAGGAUUUUACGACACUUUAUGUGUUGUUCAACUCGAUCUCAAAUCAAGUAAGACUACCCGCUGAACUUAA
Molecule: unclassified non-coding RNA, 333 nt
Filed under: uncultured fungus
Lineage: Eukaryota; Fungi
Description: sequence contains ITS2
Source: RNAcentral